GGUGGGGGAGGCGCUGCAAACCCUCUUGGGGGCUUCUUUGUUCCUCUCUGUGCUCACUAAAGGGCCGGGUGUGCCUGCUGUACCCGAGCGGGGGUCGCACUGGGGAUGCCUGCAGGAUCCUGGCUGCAGCGCGCCCCAGGCUGACAAUUGAACCUCGCGGGAGAAGCGAGAGGGUGGAGAGGAGGGUGGAUUCCCGGCCCUGAUAAGGCGCUGCCAGGGCCUCGGGAGAAGCGGGAAAGCCGCCCAGAGAAGGGAAAGGAAGGGGGCAGCAGGCAGAGUCCCCGCCAGGCGCCCGCUUACCUUGGCAGCCUCGGCCUGGGCAUAAAUCAUGCUCCUGUCGGCGCGUAGAUGAGAGCCGGCGGGGCGUGCGUGCCCUACAGGGCGCGCCGGGCGACCGAGACCUGCGAGGGGGACUGGGGCGCCCACUCGUUACCGCCGCGCUCCGGGUGCUCCGGGCGAGCGGUGACCACCGCCACGACGGAGGGGCGUACGCAGCUCGGUGAGGGCCGGCUGGGUCAGAGAAGCGCUGUAUUUCGGCUCCAACAACGGCUCCUGAAGAACGCACUCCCAUAGAAGACAUUUUCACACCCAGAAAAGUCUUUCCCAUAACCCAAACUGCAGUCCUCCUCUAGAAUAAACAGGGUCGGCCUUGACUCCAGACUUCUAUCAAGACGAAGGUCUGGUGGGACGCAGGAAAGGACUGGCAUGCCUGCUCACCUCAGGCCAUGUGCACAUAAAGACAACCAGAACACAGUUCCCACUCAAGUGGCACCUACAAUGCUGAGAAAGCUAUGACGUGGACUGACCAUGGACUUCACCAUUGGGAAGAGGCUUCACCUCAGUGCUGGCAGUGAAUGCCUUAUAGCUACGGACCGAGCUGUUGUAGCUAUGCUCAUGGUGUCAAGUCUGACAUAGUCUCUCUCCACAGGACAAAUUAUAGCCAGUGAUACAAAAUUAUCAUUUGAGGACACGUUAGUUCCUAAGGCUUAGAAUAAAAAGCCUUAGGUCAGCUGAGCAAGUUAUCUGAAAAACCAGGUCUUCCUCUGAUGAGGGAAAAAAGAUUUUAAUUUUUUUCUUUUAAAAAUUUUAUUGGGAAGUUGGGGAAGGGGAACAGCCAAG
Molecule: long non-coding RNA, 1119 nt
Organism: Hipposideros armiger (great roundleaf bat)
Lineage: Eukaryota; Metazoa; Chordata; Mammalia; Chiroptera; Hipposideridae
Exons: 3
Source: RefSeq, a predicted model, not a curated record